AAAUUUGAGCAUCAAAUCGAUCGAUCGAUCGAUCGAUCAGGUAAAGCUUUUCAUAGCUCUCCCCACUUUCCUUGUACUUGAGAUUCCAUUAAUUAUAGAACUCUGAUUUUUGGAUCUUGGCGCUACUCCUUUUUCCGGUGAUUUAGGGUUUUGCAGAAUUGUGGAUUUGUGAAAACAAAUUGCACAGUGGUUUUCGUUUUCUUGUUUCGGUUGAUUUAAAGCCCAGUUGAUGGCAACUGAAAAUGAAGUUGAAGAAAUUGACAGCUUGGAGAGAGGUUUAUUGUCCCGUGCUGGUUCUCAGGAGGAGCUGGUAACGGAGGCAGAAGAAGAAACGGUGCUGUAUACGGCGUCGUUCCAGGAGAUGGAAGAGAAUUUCGUCAAAUAUCAGACUGCUCAGUGGGUUCUCUACUCCUUGCUUCUGAUACUGGCCUGGGGAAUUGGCUUUUUCAUGCUUCUUUAUCUACCUGUGCGGAGAUAUAUACUCCGCAAAGAUAUCCGCUCCAGAAAGCUCUAUCUCACUCAAAAUUCCAUAGUAUAUAAAGCCACAAAGCCGGUACCAUUUCCAUGCUUUGGAGUGUUGAAGAAAGAGAAGCAUGUCUUGUUACCUUCAGUUGCCGACCUUGUCAUUGAACAGGGAUAUUUGCAAUCCCUCUUUGGUGUCUACUCUCUUAGAAUUGAAAAUGCUGGUGUAAGACGGCCUCCAAGUGAUGAUGUUCAAAUCCAGGGAGUUGCAGAUCCAAGCGCUUUCAGAAAGGCUGUUCUUAUUCAUCUCGCGCAUAUGAGAAGUGAGGUUUCUUCUAGACAGGUUUCCACAAUUGAAGACACUCCCAAUCUAAGGGGGUCCCCAUCAAAAUCUUUAAGGCACGAUUCUUUUCCUCAUUUUGGGGAGCAAGUACUACUACAAAAACUGGAGGAGGUUGGAAAUUCAGUGAAGAGAAUUCAAACCUUAAUUGAGGACCAGCAGUCUCAAACAUCAGGACCCAUAGAUUGAGUGCUCUAGGUGGCUUCCUUCAAUUGGAUGAUUGCUUUCCUCCAUUAUAUAAUGGCCUGUCAAGGUUGGAGAGAGAAGUUAGUCAUAGAUGGAAAUAGGGUGCUUUUGAUCAGCAAGCAAUUAGUAAGCCUCCAAGCCCUAAUCUUUCAUUACAAUGUUUGUACAUGUCUUUGAUCCUGCAUUGAACACCCUACCAAGUCAAACUAAAGUAUAUCUUCCGUUUCUAAAUAAUUCAAUCAAAUCUGCUAGUUAAGACUAAAGACAAAAAUAAUUGAAUUUCAACUAUUCUUGUAAAGAUUUGCGAUAACUAUUUUCUUGCAUGUAACUCUAUGGAGAAAAAAAAAAAAAAAAAAAAAAAAAAAAGGAAAAAAACAAGAAAAAAAAGUUCUACUGUUCUAUUUAAAGCUCUUUACAUCACACGUCAUACAAAAUCAUAAAAAUGACUAGAUCAAAAUAAGCACGUCAUUAUCAAAGCAUCAAUUUUGCAACCCAACUAAUCUACAUUGCCAAUUUGCCAUGUGAUAUCCAUUAGCCACUAAAAGUCAAAAUAGUCAACACGCAUAACAGGCAUUGAUACUGUUCAUGUUAUUAUUUUGUGGUCCAUCUGGCCUGCAUUUUAGCCUACUGGGCUGUUUUCUUCUCCUAUGAUCGUUGAUGGUUGUCAAGGCGUCGUUCGCUUUUUUGAGCUCCUCCGAACAAUCUUUUUCACUUGAAACUUGCCAUUGGGCCUUUUUAUGUAAGCUGUUGUUCUGAGGAUUUUUUAGUAGAAUUUUUCUUUAAUUUAUCAUGUUUAACUAUCUCAA
RNA transcript from Carya illinoinensis, 1794 nucleotides. RefSeq lists it as uncharacterized. The record is from RefSeq and is a predicted model, not a curated record. The transcript is spliced from 8 exons. NCBI's taxonomy places the organism in Eukaryota, Viridiplantae, Streptophyta, Magnoliopsida, Fagales, Juglandaceae.